Molecule: ribosomal RNA, 431 nt
Filed under: uncultured bacterium
Lineage: Bacteria
Description: partial 16S ribosomal RNA
Rfam family: Bacterial small subunit ribosomal RNA
Source: RNAcentral
AACGAACGCUGGCGGCAGGCUUAACACAUGCAAGUCGAGCGCCCCGCAAGGGGAGCGGCAGACGGGUGAGUAACGCGUGGGAACGUACCUUUUGGUUCGGAACAACUCCGGGAAACUGGAGCUAAUACCGGAUAAGCCCUAACGGGGAAAGAUUUAUCGCCGAAAGAUCGGCCCGCGUCUGAUUAGCUAGUUGGUGAGGUAACGGCUCACCAAGGCGACGAUCAGUAGCUGGUCUGAGAGGAUGAUCAGCCACACUGGGACUGAGACACGGCCCAGACUCCUUCGGGAGGCAGCAGUGGGGAAUAUUGGACAAUGGGCGCAAGCCUGAUCCAGCCAUGCCGCGUGAGUGAUGAAGGCCUUAGGGUUGUAAAGCUCUUUUGUCCGGGAAGAUAAUGACUGUACCGGAAGAAUAAGCCCCGGCUAACUUCGUG